This 347-nucleotide ribosomal RNA is filed under the name soil fungal sp. DM064. RNAcentral's name for it is "partial 28S rRNA". It matches the Rfam family "Eukaryotic large subunit ribosomal RNA", at positions 183 to 536 of the family's 3401-position model. Lineage: Eukaryota; Fungi. The record is from RNAcentral.
GAGUUCCCUGGAACGGGACGCCAUAGAGGGNGAGAGCCCCGUCUGGNCGGACACCAAGCCAGUGUAAAGCUCCUUCGACGAGUCGAGUAGUUUGGNAAUGCUGCUCUAAAUGGGAGGUAUAUGUCUUCUAAAGCUAAAUACCGNCCAGAGACCGAUAGCGCACAAGUAGAGUGAUCGAAAGAUGAAAAGCACUUUGAAAAGAGGGUUAAACAGUACGUGAAAUUGUUGAAAGGAAAGCGUUUAUGACCAGACUUGGGCCCGGUGAAUCAUCCAGCGUUCUCGCNNGUGCACUUUGCCGGGCUCAGNCCAGCAUCAGUUCGCCGCGGGGAAUAAAGNCUUCGGGAACG